Columba livia (rock pigeon) is the source of this 3423-nucleotide long non-coding RNA. RefSeq lists it as uncharacterized. The record is from RefSeq and is a predicted model, not a curated record. NCBI's taxonomy places the organism in Eukaryota, Metazoa, Chordata, Aves, Columbiformes, Columbidae. The transcript has 4 exons.
CACCCCUUGUUUUCUUUCUGAGCAGGGACAGAUAUGUCGCAUGUUUAAAGCUUCAUCCUAUCAAUCUAGUGUCAAGUUCUGUACAUUAUAAUUGCAGUUUUGAUGAAGUAUAAAGGAAUGUGACCCUUCAGACCACUUUUAUUUAAAAAACGAAAGUGUGAAGUAGGGUGCAGAAAUUACACAUUUAAGGUGGACAUUUAGAGUAGAAUUAAAAUAUUUUCAUGUUUAAAAAAUGAAGUUGCACACAUUUUUUACCUAACAGCUGGCAUAGAAAAUAGAUUCUUAGAGCAUAAAUAGCUGUGAAGACAAGAAAGUGUGUGACUUUACAAGAUUGUAGUUCAUCAAUAGCAUUGUUAAAUGAGUUUUCACACAUUUUGUUUUACAGUAGCAAAAUGCUACUAUCACUGGUUUCAUCAAAAGCAAGACCUGGCAACAGAGAUGUUGCUGGGCAAUACAUAAGGUCAAAGAAGCAUUUGUCAUGUUUGGCUUUGAUUUUAAGCCAUCUAAUAUUCAGCAACCCAACAACCUGGGAGGCUGACUUUUUUGUCUUGAAAAAUGUUGCAGGGCUUGUAUAGAGCAAUGUCCUUGAUCCAGGAACAGGAUCCAUGAAAGAAUAUGUCAAGUAUAGUUUGGAGUCUGCAGACUAAAAUUAUCUGCGAGUCUUUGAUUUGAUUUUGAUGCCAGAGACAAUCUUUGCUCUGAUAUCCAUGCCAAGGACUAUCAAGACUUUGCGAAGUAAAAGUAAAUUUGUGUGUUUCAGCAUGCCCCUUUUGACAAUACUGGUGUAUCAUUAUCUUGAUUUACCUUUCUUCUGUGCAUGUGAUUCUGUUUCUAGCAAUUUAAAAUACUUGUUAUGAUUUCAAAGAUGCCUUAUUCUUAAUGAUUUAUUUCAAGAUGAGCUGCUAGCUAUUCUGAUUGAAUUUCUCAGGGUGUCACUUUGAACAAACUUAGGUUUAUUGUUUUUAGUAGAUUGCUGAGGAAUAAACUUCAUGAUUAUCCUCUUGUCAUUCAAAUCAGUCACAGAUUUAUUUCCACUCCAAGCACUGCAGAAUACGAGACAGUCUCAUUUUUUGAAUGAUAACUGUGAGCAGCAAAAUAAACCAGUCAUUUCUUAGGAAAGGACUUGAUCCAACAUCCCUGCAAGCUACUGCAAUGCGUCUUUUGACUUGCAGAAUUUUGGCUCAUGGUAUGCCAGGAGUGAGUCGACAAAGACAACUUUCUGCAUACCCUGCUGCUCUGCCUCGAAGGUACUGAAUGUCAAGUUACACAAGAAGGACACCUCAUUACAACCUUCUGGCUGCUCUACAUUGGGAAGCUGGCAGGCAUCUUCUAACUACUGUUUCUGCCUCCUGCUUGCCAGACCUGCACAACUGUUCUCCCUGGACUGCAACAGCAGAAGCUAUCAACUUGGAUCAGGCAUAUUUGCUUCAAUUCAAUGCCACUUUCUUACCCUGCCUUUGCUACAGGUCACAGAAGAUAAGAGAUGGACUCACCAUUGGACACAAUCUUUCUGCUUGCCCUAAGCUAGCGUGAUUCCCUGGGCAUCAUACAUCUUGAAUUUGAUGUAGACUCCGUUCAGUAUCCAUUGAUGUUUGUGGAGUUCUGCAGUUCAGGGGACUAAGCAUUUGCAGUCUUUAUCAGUCAGCGUGGGCUGAAGUUGCAGCAGGAACAAGCCGUCUAAAUUCCAGAGAAUGAACACACCAUCCAUGAAACAAAUAGGACAAGGCUGAUGGGGGGAGGUGACAUAUUUAUCUUCAUUUUAAUAAAGACUAUUAUUUCUGCUUACGUUCUUUGCCUUAUUUUUACUCCACAUAGAAUACAGCCUCUCUUUUACAAGUCAGCCAGGAAUCACAAGCUGCAAUUACGUCAUUGACAUGUACUUAGGAAAUUAGCAUCACUAUAACAGAAAGUAAAUUCCUUUCCUUUCUUGGUGGCAUAUGUGUGUUUCUGGAAUGGGAAAAAAGUAUUAUUGGAAUUUGUCCCUUCUUUGUUCAGCCUACAGCCCAUUCUACAACCCUUUGUCCUUUGUUUAUCUCAGUUGAGGUGAUUAAGACCUUUAUGAUUUGCCUCUCCAGUUUUACUAUCCCUUUAAACACUGCCAUAGAGGAAUAAAAACCAGAGAACUUGAGAGAAGUUCCCACAACCCAAAUUCAAACCUCUACCUACAAUGAAGGGCAGAAAAUGAGCAAUGGUGAGACUGAGCAUUUCUGAAUCUUCAGGCUUCUUUUCAGGGCUCCCCAGAAACAUGGAUAUUUUCAGAGUACAGAAAAAGAAAGCUAGAUUAUUCUGACUUUGCUUAUUCAAUAUCCAGUUCUUUAUGAUGAAAGAGAUUAUUGAAGAAAGCUGUGAUGUGUCAAUGCAGAGCAAAAUUGCACUGAGCUGAAAGAUGAAUGUGCACAAACCAUGCAUCUCCUUCGCCAUUGUAGCGUUUAUAUAUUAUUUAUGUCUGCACUGAGAAAAAUUUAUAUAUUAAUGCAGUCUUCUUUAAUGUCACUUAGCAAUAUUUCAGCAUCUACUUUCCUGCUGCAGGUCACUAACAGCAAGUUUUUAUAUACUCUCAGUCAGAAAGAGAACAAUAGCUAGAUGACCUUCUGAUCUUAUCAUAGUGUAUUGUCAUUAUUAUAAAAAUAAAGAUAAAAAUUUAAAUGUGAAGAAGCCUUGGACUUUCCUAGUGAGAAAUAACAAUAGGAGCUAUAUUUAUGUGUCUGUCUUCACACUAUUUGGCUAUCGGGCAGAGCAAGGAUCUCAGAAAGAAAGCACCCCUGGCUUUUCAUUUAUUUCAGUAUGAAAAUCACUUUCCAUUUUGUUGGUUACUGACUACAUAGUCAUGUGUAAACAUGUUCAAAACAUUUUGCUUAGAGAACAAUGGUGCAUCAGGCCAAAUAUGAUCCUGUGCUGAAAUAUUUAUCUUUUUUCCAAAUAUGAUUAUGAUCAAACCACAAGGUUGUCUAAACCUGUUAUACUGAAAUGGCCAACAAGAUGAAAAAACAUGCACUUAUGCUCUGAACAAAGCAUCAAAUGUGGAAUACAUAAGUGUAAACAUAGCAAUUUGGAAAUGUCGUCUAAGAAAUAUAUAGGGCCUUCAAAUGCACCCGUUGCCUCUUUUGGGACAGUGGCAGUAAUUUAACAAUGCCCUGUAGAACCCCCAAUCCUGUAUCAAUCAAUGGACAUUAAAGAAUUAAAGGUUAAUUCCUGCUCCCUGUUCCUAGUAAAAUUAAGAGGACCUAUAUCUCUGUUUGCUCCUUCAAGGCCAGAUGGAGUAGCUAAGUAGCUUGAAUAGUAAUUUCUUAUACAGCUAUAUGAAUAAUUCAUUCUUUGAUUCCUGACCAAACUCAGAAAAAGCACUGUUCUUGUAUUAUAUGAAAUACUUUUUUCCUGCUUGGGAAAACAAUAAAACAUAGCUGCAGACUUGAUCUAGGUGAG